RNAcentral lists this non-coding RNA (958 nucleotides) under Pelvicachromis pulcher (rainbow krib). Its description in RNAcentral is "12S ribosomal RNA". It matches the Rfam family "Bacterial small subunit ribosomal RNA". Lineage: Eukaryota; Metazoa; Chordata; Actinopteri; Cichliformes; Cichlidae. The record is from RNAcentral.
CAAAGGCUUGGUCCUGACUUUACUAUCAGUUUUGACCAAAUUUACACAUGCAAGUCUCCGCCUUCCCGUGAGAAUGCCCAGAAUCUUCUGCUUGAAGACAAGGAGCAGGUAUCAGGCACCCCUCCCCCAGGGAGCCCACGACACCUUGCUUAGCCACACCCUCAAGGGACCUCAGCAGUGAUAAAUAUUAAGCCAUAAGUGAAAACUUGACUUAAUUAUGGCCCAGAGAGCCGGUAAAACUCGUGCCAGCAACCGCGGUUAUACGAGAGGCUCAAAUUGAUAGAUAUCGGCGUAAAGAGUGGUUAAGAGGCCCCAAAAAACUAAAGCCGAACGCCUUCAGGACUGUUUAAUGUAUUCGAAGGUAAGAAGCCCCUCUACGAAAGUGGCUUUAUGGCUCUGACCCCACGAAAGCUGUGAAACAAACUGGGAUUAGAUACCCCACUAUGCUCAGCCCUAAACCUUGAUAGCCCCCUUACACAUGCUAUCCGCCCGGGUACUACAAGCAUUAGCUCAAAACCCAAAGGACUUGGCGGUGCUUUAGAUCCGCCUAGAGGAGCCUGUUCUAGAACCGAUAAUCCCCGUUAAACCUCACCCUCUUUUGCUCUUUCCGUCUAUAUACCGCCGUCGUCAGCUUACCCUGUGAAGGCCUAAAUAGUAAGCAAAAUCAGCACAGCUCAAAACGUCAGGUCGAGGUGUAGCAUACAAGAGGGGAAGAAAUGGGCUACAUUCUCUGCUACAGAGAAUACGAACAACAUAAUGAAACAUAUGUUAAAAGGAGGAUUUAGCAGUAAGCAGGAAAAUAGAGUGUUCCGCUGAAAUAGGCUCUGAAGCAUGCACACACCGCCCGUCAUUCUCCCCAAGCUACCACCACACCCACACCAUAAAUAAUACGCCAUACCAGCAAAGGGGAGGCAAGUCGUAACACGGUAAGUGUACCGGAAGGUGCACUUGGAUGAAU